ACCUGGCUGGCUCAGUCAUUAGAGCAUGUGACUCUUGAUCUCAGGGUUGUGGGUUCAAGCCCCACACUGGGUA
Molecule: transfer RNA, 73 nt
Filed under: Ursus americanus (American black bear)
Lineage: Eukaryota; Metazoa; Chordata; Mammalia; Carnivora; Ursidae
Also listed under: 2 other names
Rfam family: tRNA
About the family: Transfer RNA (tRNA) molecules are approximately 80 nucleotides in length.
Source: Rfam by way of RNAcentral